UACGUAGGGCGCAAGCAUUGUCCGGAAUUAUUGGGCGUAAAGAGCUCGUAGGCGGCUUGUCACGUCGGGUGUGAAAGCCCGGGGCUUAACCCCGGGUCUGCAUUCGAUACGGGCAGGCUAGAGUUCGGUAGGGGAGAUCGGAAUUCCUGGUGUAGCGGUGAAAUGCGCAGAUAUCAGGAGGAACACCGGUGGCGAAGGCGGAUCUCUGGGCCGAUACUGACGCUGAGGAGCGAAAGCGUGGGGAGCGAACAGG
This 253-nucleotide ribosomal RNA is filed under the name uncultured bacterium. RNAcentral describes it as "partial 16S ribosomal RNA". It matches the Rfam family "Bacterial small subunit ribosomal RNA", at positions 524 to 776 of the family's 1533-position model. The record is from RNAcentral.